RNAcentral lists this ribosomal RNA (450 nucleotides) under Triticum aestivum (bread wheat). RNAcentral describes it as "partial small subunit ribosomal RNA". The record is from RNAcentral. Lineage: Eukaryota; Viridiplantae; Streptophyta; Magnoliopsida; Poales; Poaceae.
AUGCAUUUCUCCAGCCUCAUACAUGUGCAUUUGAAAACAAAAUGUGUUGGUUUGUUUUUGGUCAUGCGUGUGUAUGCGCAGUCGCUGCAGAAAAGAGCUGGGUUUGUUGCAACAGAGGGAGUUGUGCAAAGCACUGUCCUCCACUAUGAUUUAUUAGAUGAAAUUUCCAUUGUGCGUACCAGCAAAAAUAGUUACACCCAUACAUACAUCAACAGUACAUGUAACCUUUCCGCGAACGAGCCGGAACUAGACGCUAAUGAAACUGAGCAGCUUGUAGAGCAUUUGCCUUCUCGGCAGCCACUGAAGCAUCCGCACCUCUGCCCUCCACUGCGUAUGCUUUCUCCUGCAAAAAACAUGAAACAAAGAUUUUACCUCAUAGUUUCACAGUUAAGUGAGUUUACAUAUGGGAUACAUAAAAGAAUCUUCUCAUGUCUAAUGAUCGCAACUUAA